UGGGGAAUAUUGCACAAUGGGCGCAAGCCUGAUGCAGCCAUGCCGCGUGUAUGAAGAAGGCCUUCGGGUUGUAAAGUACUUUCAGCGGGGAGGAAGGGUGUAAAGUUAAUACCUUUGCUCAUUGACGUUACCCGCAGAAGAAGCACCGGCUAACUCCGUGCCAGCAGCCGCGGUAAUACGGAGGGUGCAAGCGUUAAUCGGAAUUACUGGGCGUAAAGCGCACGCAGGCGGUUUGUUAAGUCAGAUGUGAAAUCCCCGGGCUCAACCUGGGAACUGCAUCUGAUACUGGCAAGCUUGAGUCUCGUAGAGGGGGGUAGAAUUCCAGGUGUAGCGGUGAAAUGCGUAGAGAUCUGGAGGAAUACCGGUGGCGAAGGCGGCCCCCUGGACGAAGACUGACGCUCAGGUGCGAAAGCGUGGGGAGCAAACA
This 427-nucleotide ribosomal RNA is filed under the name uncultured bacterium. RNAcentral describes it as "partial 16S ribosomal RNA". It matches the Rfam family "Bacterial small subunit ribosomal RNA", at positions 355 to 774 of the family's 1533-position model. The record is from RNAcentral.